UGCGGGUGAACGCGGCGUUUGCCGCGCGGUACAACCGCUACCGGGAGCGCGAGGAACUGCAGCGGCUGAAGGAUCGCUACGGGGACCGGGACAGCGGCAGCGACACCAGCUCCGAGUCGGCCUCCAGCGACGAGCGCGUGGAAUUUGACCCCCAGCAGGAGCGGGACUUUUACAAAACGCUCUCCUUGUUGAAGAAGAAGGACCCCCGCAUUUAUCAGAAAGAUGCCACCUUCUAUAACAGAACAGCAUCGUCAUCAGACAGUCAGGAGGAGCCAGCAGCCUUGGAGAAGCAGAAGAAAGUGCGGCCCAUGUACCUGAAGGACUACGAGAGGAAGGUUAUGUUGGAGAAGGCAGGCAAAUACGUCGACGAGGAGAACUCAGACGGGGAGACUUCCAAUCACAGACUCCAGGUGGGUGGGGUGAGGGCUGGGUCGGGGGGCUGAGGGGCCUGGGGCUGGCCUGAGACCUACCGCCCUCUCUGCAGGAGACCUCGUCGCAAAGUUAUGUGGAAGAACAGAAACAGCUCAAGGAAAGCUUUCGGGCAUUUGUGGAGGACAGUGAGGACGAGGACAGUGCUGGGGAGGGCGGCUCCAGUUUGCUGCAGAAACGUGCCAAAACCAGGCAGGAGAAGGCCCAGGAGGAGGCUGACUACAUCGAGUGGCUGAAGGGACAGAAAGAGAUUCGGAACCCAGAUUCCCUGAAGGAACUGACCCAUCUCAAGGAAUACUGGAACGACCCUGAGUUGGAUGAAGGGGAGCGGUUCCUGCGGGAUUACAUCCUCAACAAACGCUACGAGGAGGAGGAAGAGGAGGAGGAAGAUGAGGAGGAAAAGGAGGAAGAGGAGCGGGUCCCCGGCCCCCCAGUCCAGCUGGCUGUGGAUGACUCCUCAGACGAGGGGGAGCUGUUUCUGAAGAAACAGGAGGACUUUGAACAGAAGUACAAUUUCCGUUUCGAGGAGCCGGACUCAGCAUCGGUCAAGACCUACCCACGCAGCAUCGCGUCCUCCGUGCGCCGUAAGGAUGAGCGCAGAAAGGAGAAGAGGGAAGAGACUCGGGAGCGAAAGAAGAGGGAGAAAGCGAAGAAGCAGGAAGAGCUCAAGCAGCUGAAGAACCUGAAGAGGAAGGAGAUUCUGGCCAAGCUGGAGAAGCUGCGGAAAGUAACAGGCAACGAGACGCUGGGCCUCGAGGAGGGGGACCUUGAAGACGACUUUGACCCUGCCCAGCACGACCAGCUCAUGCAGAAGUGCUUUGGGGACGAGUACUACGGGGCCGUGGAGGAGGACAAGCCACAAUUUGAGGAAGAAGAAGGGCUUGAAGACGACUGGAACUGGGACACGUGGGACGGGCCUGAGCAGGAGGGAGACUGGAGCCAGCAGGAGCUGCACUGUGAGGACCCCAACUUCAAUGUAGGUGUCACGGGUUGAGGGAUUCCCAGAGGCCCUGACGUAGGGCUGGUGGGAUCUGACCUGUGCGUCCUGGCAGAUGGACGCCGACUACGACCCCAGCCAGCCGAGGAAGAAAAAGCACGAGGCCCCCUCGAUGGGCAAGAAGAAGCGCAAGUCGCCCUUCGCCGCGGCCGUGGGGCAGGAGAAACCCGUGUUUGAACCCGGUGAGGCCCAGGUGGGCAGACCGUGGGUGGGCAGGGGGCUCCGCGGGGCCUGGCAUAGCCCAGCAGCCUGGCUCUGUCUCGAGCAGGGGACAAGACAUUUGAGGAGUACCUGGAUGAGUAUUACCGGCUGGACUACGAGGACAUCAUCGACGACCUGCCCUGUCGCUUCAAGUACCGCACAGUGGUGCCCUGCGACUUUGGCCUCAGCACUGAGGAGAUCCUCGCUGCUGACGAUAAGGAGCUGAACCGGUGGUGCUCCCUGAAGAAGACCUGCAUGUACAGGUCAGAGCAGGAGGAGCUGCGGGACAAGCGGGCGUACAGCCAGAAGGCCCAGAACUCAUGGAAAAAGCGGCAGGUCUUCAAGUCACUCUGCCGAGAAGAGGCAGAGACACCCGCGGAAGCCACAGGGAAGCCACAGAGAGACGAAGCCGGCCCACAGAGGCAGCUGCCAGCCCUUGAUGGGGCUGGCAGGAAGCGGCCCCGGCCGGAGAGUCCCCCAGCACAAGAGGAAGCCCCUGUAUCACCCCACAAGAAGCCAGCCCCCCAGAGGCAGAGGAGGGCCAAGAAGGCACGGCUGCUGGGCCCCACUGUGAUGCUUGGUGGACGCGAGUUCAGCCGCCAGAGACUGCAGGCCUUUGGCCUCAACCCCAAACGGCUGCACUUCCGCCAGCUGGGCCGGCAGCGGAGGAAACAACAGGGGCCCAAGAACAGCUCCUGAGCAGCAGGGAGCAGGCAGGGGCCUCAGGCUCCUCCCCUCAAAUCAAGCCCUGGACAGGUCUCGCACCCACAAGUACUAUCUGCUGCAGAGAACCUCUCAUCUGUGGCUAGGCACGCCUGUAAUCCCAGCACUUCGGGAGGCCGAGGUGAAAGGAUCACUUGAGCCCAGGAAUUGGAGACCAGUGUGGGCAACUUAGUGAGACUCCAUCUCUACAAAAUGUGGUGACACAUUCCUGUAGUCCCCGCUACUCAGGAGGCUGGGGAAGGAAGGUCACUUAAGGCCAUGAGUUUGAGGCUACAGUGAGCUAUGAUUGCACCACUGCACUCCAGCCCGGGCAACAAAGCAAGACCCUGUCUCUUGGGGGGGAAAAAAAAAAAAAAAAAAAAAAA
RNAcentral lists this small RNA (2715 nucleotides) under Pongo abelii (Sumatran orangutan). RNAcentral's name for it is "retained intron". Lineage: Eukaryota; Metazoa; Chordata; Mammalia; Primates; Hominidae. The record is from RNAcentral.